This 2904-nucleotide ribosomal RNA is filed under the name Escherichia coli. RNAcentral's name for it is "23S ribosomal RNA". It matches the Rfam family "Bacterial large subunit ribosomal RNA". The record is from RNAcentral. Lineage: Bacteria; Pseudomonadati; Pseudomonadota; Gammaproteobacteria; Enterobacterales; Enterobacteriaceae.
GGUUAAGCGACUAAGCGUACACGGUGGAUGCCCUGGCAGUCAGAGGCGAUGAAGGACGUGCUAAUCUGCGAUAAGCGUCGGUAAGGUGAUAUGAACCGUUAUAACCGGCGAUUUCCGAAUGGGGAAACCCAGUGUGUUUCGACACACUAUCAUUAACUGAAUCCAUAGGUUAAUGAGGCGAACCGGGGGAACUGAAACAUCUAAGUACCCCGAGGAAAAGAAAUCAACCGAGAUUCCCCCAGUAGCGGCGAGCGAACGGGGAGCAGCCCAGAGCCUGAAUCAGUGUGUGUGUUAGUGGAAGCGUCUGGAAAGGCGCGCGAUACAGGGUGACAGCCCCGUACACAAAAAUGCACAUACUGUGAGCUCGAUGAGUAGGGCGGGACACGUGGUAUCCUGUCUGAAUAUGGGGGGACCAUCCUCCAAGGCUAAAUACUCCUGACUGACCGAUAGUGAACCAGUACCGUGAGGGAAAGGCGAAAAGAACCCCGGCGAGGGGAGUGAAAAAGAACCUGAAACCGUGUACGUACAAGCAGUGGGAGCACGCUUAGGCGUGUGACUGCGUACCUUUUGUAUAAUGGGUCAGCGACUUAUAUUCUGUAGCAAGGUUAACCGAAUAGGGGAGCCGAAGGGAAACCGAGUCUUAACUGGGCGUUAAGUUGCAGGGUAUAGACCCGAAACCCGGUGAUCUAGCCAUGGGCAGGUUGAAGGUUGGGUAACACUAACUGGAGGACCGAACCGACUAAUGUUGAAAAAUUAGCGGAUGACUUGUGGCUGGGGGUGAAAGGCCAAUCAAACCGGGAGAUAGCUGGUUCUCCCCGAAAGCUAUUUAGGUAGCGCCUCGUGAAUUCAUCUCCGGGGGUAGAGCACUGUUUCGGCAAGGGGGUCAUCCCGACUUACCAACCCGAUGCAAACUGCGAAUACCGGAGAAUGUUAUCACGGGAGACACACGGCGGGUGCUAACGUCCGUCGUGAAGAGGGAAACAACCCAGACCGCCAGCUAAGGUCCCAAAGUCAUGGUUAAGUGGGAAACGAUGUGGGAAGGCCCAGACAGCCAGGAUGUUGGCUUAGAAGCAGCCAUCAUUUAAAGAAAGCGUAAUAGCUCACUGGUCGAGUCGGCCUGCGCGGAAGAUGUAACGGGGCUAAACCAUGCACCGAAGCUGCGGCAGCGACGCUUAUGCGUUGUUGGGUAGGGGAGCGUUCUGUAAGCCUGCGAAGGUGUGCUGUGAGGCAUGCUGGAGGUAUCAGAAGUGCGAAUGCUGACAUAAGUAACGAUAAAGCGGGUGAAAAGCCCGCUCGCCGGAAGACCAAGGGUUCCUGUCCAACGUUAAUCGGGGCAGGGUGAGUCGACCCCUAAGGCGAGGCCGAAAGGCGUAGUCGAUGGGAAACAGGUUAAUAUUCCUGUACUUGGUGUUACUGCGAAGGGGGGACGGAGAAGGCUAUGUUGGCCGGGCGACGGUUGUCCCGGUUUAAGCGUGUAGGCUGGUUUUCCAGGCAAAUCCGGAAAAUCAAGGCUGAGGCGUGAUGACGAGGCACUACGGUGCUGAAGCAACAAAUGCCCUGCUUCCAGGAAAAGCCUCUAAGCAUCAGGUAACAUCAAAUCGUACCCCAAACCGACACAGGUGGUCAGGUAGAGAAUACCAAGGCGCUUGAGAGAACUCGGGUGAAGGAACUAGGCAAAAUGGUGCCGUAACUUCGGGAGAAGGCACGCUGAUAUGUAGGUGAGGUCCCUCGCGGAUGGAGCUGAAAUCAGUCGAAGAUACCAGCUGGCUGCAACUGUUUAUUAAAAACACAGCACUGUGCAAACACGAAAGUGGACGUAUACGGUGUGACGCCUGCCCGGUGCCGGAAGGUUAAUUGAUGGGGUUAGCGCAAGCGAAGCUCUUGAUCGAAGCCCCGGUAAACGGCGGCCGUAACUAUAACGGUCCUAAGGUAGCGAAAUUCCUUGUCGGGUAAGUUCCGACCUGCACGAAUGGCGUAAUGAUGGCCAGGCUGUCUCCACCCGAGACUCAGUGAAAUUGAACUCGCUGUGAAGAUGCAGUGUACCCGCGGCAAGACGGAAAGACCCCGUGAACCUUUACUAUAGCUUGACACUGAACAUUGAGCCUUGAUGUGUAGGAUAGGUGGGAGGCUUUGAAGUGUGGACGCCAGUCUGCAUGGAGCCGACCUUGAAAUACCACCCUUUAAUGUUUGAUGUUCUAACGUUGACCCGUGAUCCGGGUUGCGGACAGUGUCUGGUGGGUAGUUUGACUGGGGCGGUCUCCUCCUAAAGAGUAACGGAGGAGCACGAAGGUUGGCUAAUCCUGGUCGGACAUCAGGAGGUUAGUGCAAUGGCAUAAGCCAGCUUGACUGCGAGCGUGACGGCGCGAGCAGGUGCGAAAGCAGGUCAUAGUGAUCCGGUGGUUCUGAAUGGAAGGGCCAUCGCUCAACGGAUAAAAGGUACUCCGGGGAUAACAGGCUGAUACCGCCCAAGAGUUCAUAUCGACGGCGGUGUUUGGCACCUCGAUGUCGGCUCAUCACAUCCUGGGGCUGAAGUAGGUCCCAAGGGUAUGGCUGUUCGCCAUUUAAAGUGGUACGCGAGCUGGGUUUAGAACGUCGUGAGACAGUUCGGUCCCUAUCUGCCGUGGGCGCUGGAGAACUGAGGGGGGCUGCUCCUAGUACGAGAGGACCGGAGUGGACGCAUCACUGGUGUUCGGGUUGUCAUGCCAAUGGCACUGCCCGGUAGCUAAAUGCGGAAGAGAUAAGUGCUGAAAGCAUCUAAGCACGAAACUUGCCCCGAGAUGAGUUCUCCCUGACCCUUUAAGGGUCCUGAAGGAACGUUGAAGACGACGACGUUGAUAGGCCGGGUGUGUAAGCGCAGCGAUGCGUUGAGCUAACCGGUACUAAUGAACCGUGAGGCUUAACCUU